RNAcentral lists this long non-coding RNA (1310 nucleotides) under Mus pahari (shrew mouse). RNAcentral's name for it is "predicted gene 43585 (MGP_PahariEiJ_G0033013.1)". Lineage: Eukaryota; Metazoa; Chordata; Mammalia; Rodentia; Muridae. The record is from RNAcentral.
AGUCCUGCUACUCAGUAGCCAGAAGCAAGUAGAAGUUUGUAGAGGCAUGCUUACAUUUUGUGUGGUGUUUCUUUAUGCAGAAUGAUUAAGAUUAUCUAAUUGUGAUUGAUGAGUGUUUUGUUACUCUCUCCAGGAGUCAUCUACUUUUCAUAGAUGCUCCCCUCCCUUUUUUUUUUUUUUUUGGUUGGGGGUUAUUCGUUCAUUCUCAUUCUGUGUCUCUCUCUCUCUCUCUCUCUCUCUCUCUCUCUCUCUCUCUCUCUCUCUCUCUCUCUCUGGGGCCACUUUGUACAAGAAGCUAGAUCAAAACAGUUAAACAGGAGGUUACCAUGUUAAAUCAAUCAGUCUUAUGGAUCUGAGUGUCUGGAUUUGAAGCCUGAAACUAGUUUAUGCUUAGUAAAGUACAUUGAGCUUUAGAUACAUUCUCUUAUCUUUUACAUUCACAAUGUGGCUGCUGUCCCCUUUAGGAAGUAGUAUGAGAGUACAGGGAAAUGAAUAGUUUCCUAGGGCUUUUGUAACUUCUCUCUGGAGAGAGUCCAGGGUAUGGGGGCUGGGGUACAACAUUGGCUUGAUAGUAUAGUGCAUUCUUUGCCCCCAACCCCCAACCCCUGUGUUUGUGUGAGAGAAUGUGCAUGUGAUGAUGGGUGCCCUCAGAGCUCCUUAGCCUGGUUCUUAUGAGCCACCCAAUGUGGAUGUUGGCAACUGAACUGAGGUCCUUUGCAAGAAUAGUAUGUGUUCUUAACUAUUGAGCUUUGUCUCUAACCACUGGUGUAAUUUGUGUGUGUGUUGGGUUUGGGGGAUAGAGUCUCGUGUAGAUCUAGGUUUUUUGGAAAUACUCUGUAGACCAAACUGGUCUCAGAAUGCAGAGAUCCUCCUGCCUCUGCUCUCCCACCCCGAGGGCAGGUAUGCCACACUGUGCUUAGCUUUUAGAAGGCACAUCUUACCAUUCAGUCACUUGUCCUGCCCCCCCCUCCCCAGUUACUUUAAGGCAAUAACAUUUAAACUGCGGUGCUGCUACACACUAUAAGAUUAAAAUCUUAAAACUUUUGCUCUAUCAUUCAACCUCUGGAUUUUAACAUGUGAAGUUUAUAGUGUUCCUUUUUACUGAACUACAGGCAAAGGUUCUAGUCCUAUAAUUUUCUUUUGGGAUAAGGCCUUCUGUGUAAGAAGAAAUGCUGGUAUAAAUGGAGACUUUUAAUCAGAAUUUUAUGUUAAUUGUAACAAUUAUUUGUCAGGUGGUGGUAGAAUUGUGUUGAAUCUGUGUAUGGGAUUUUUAAAUGUUCACUAUCCUGCCUCCUCCCACCCUCACCCCC